AAUUAAGCCGAUUUAUCGUCAGUUUUUAGUGUUAAGAAGCGCUCAAAUGAAUCUUGGAGUGGUUUGCUUUAAAAUUUUUUGGUUAAAAUAUGGAUUUCCAGCUCAUUGUUAAUACAGAUCUUCCAGGACAAAGACAAUUACUCGACUCCAUGUUCGAUUUCCUUCGGUCAAGUAUCUAUCUAAACUGUAUGCAAUAAUUGAAAAUUUAUUUUCGUUUCAGCACCUACUUUUACCAUAUAAAGUGCGAUGAAACGGACAAAUUCGGUUUCCCCAAGGGAGUACGGGAAUAGAUUCUUCACGGCGCUAUGCAGAGUUACGAUGUGGACUGCCGGUAAAGAGCUCUCACUAAGCGACUAUGAAAAUGGAGAUAUAAGUCAAGCUUUAUUAUUGCUUCAUCAGGUUUGGGAACAAGUAAACAAAUUAUAAUGCCAAGCGGGAUAUGGGAACAAAAAACGGUAUGAAAACGAUAACGAUCGGACCAGCCAACCCCUCGACACCUGGGACUCCACAGUUGCAGACCCCGGAGAAUAUAUAGCCCAUUAAUGUUCUAUGCCAAGUAAUCCUUUUACAAGGAGGAGGUAUAACACUUAGCGAGUACUGUUAAACAACAACAGCAGCAGCAGAAACUUCAGGAAAAACUUGUAAUAUUAAAGCGCUGAAUCCAUGAGGCCGAUGACUCUCCAGUUUCUUUGCUAUCAGAAAAAGCAGACAUAAUGCGCAGUUUCGCGAAUAGUGAUCAGCGGCGCAUGGCGAGCGUGACGAAAGUGGAGCAAAUCCUACAGCAGCAGUUGCGCGGAAUCUAAUUUGCAUGAAUACUGGGUGCAAAAAUAGCAUGCGUUUUAUCCAUAGCUUUAAAACUUUAAAAGAAUAAUUCUUCAAGAAACAAGAAGACUGCCAUCCAGAGAUCGAUUGAUCUUGAAAAUUUUUAAUAUUUAAUACCGACUUUUAAAUAUUUUAAAUUGGAGCUUAUCCGAAAAAAUCCGAGUCUCCGUUCAAUAUUAUAUGGAAAAUUACUGACAGGAAUAUUGAUUGUGCGUGUGUAUUGUUUCAAAUAAAUUAUUAAAUUAAUUAUUUUUAGGUACUGUGUAUUUGCAUUUAAAAAAUAUUAUGAGAUCUAUAAUCAAUUAUAUACAA
This is a long non-coding RNA of Drosophila ananassae, 1134 nucleotides long. RefSeq lists it as uncharacterized. The transcript is spliced from 2 exons. The record is from RefSeq and is a predicted model, not a curated record. Lineage: Eukaryota; Metazoa; Arthropoda; Insecta; Diptera; Drosophilidae.